This 122-nucleotide small nucleolar RNA is filed under the name Buceros rhinoceros silvestris. Lineage: Eukaryota; Metazoa; Chordata; Aves; Bucerotiformes; Bucerotidae. The record is from RNAcentral.
UCGCACUGUUCGUAACCUCUUGACAGCAUAUUUCUGUGAAUAGGUUCCAUUCCAGUGCUACAUAAAAUCCAAUUAAUGGAAGGCUGACAAAUUCCAUGUCCCUUCUGCAUUUGGAGACAAAA